Molecule: ribosomal RNA, 1347 nt
Filed under: uncultured bacterium
Lineage: Bacteria
Description: bacterial SSU rRNA
Rfam family: Bacterial small subunit ribosomal RNA
Source: RNAcentral
CCUGGCUCAGGAUGAACGCUGGCGGCGUGCCUAACACAUGCAAGUCGAGCGAUUCUCUUCGGAGAAGAGCGGCGGACGGGUGAGUAACGCGUGGGUAACCUGCCCUGUACACACGGAUAACAUACCGAAAGGUAUGCUAAUACGAGAUAAUAUAAGAAAUUCGCAUGUUUUUCUUAUCAAAGCUCCGGCGGUACAGGAUGGACCCGCGUCUGAUUAGCUAGUUGGUGAGGUAAUGGCUCACCAAGGCGACGAUCAGUAGCCGACCUGAGAGGGUGAUCGGCCACAUUGGAACUGAGACACGGUCCAAACUCCUACGGGAGGCAGCAGUGGGGAAUAUUGCACAAUGGGCGAAAGCCUGAUGCAGCAACGCCGCGUGAGCGAUGAAGGCCUUCGGGUCGUAAAGCUCUGUCCUCAAGGAAGAUAAUGACGGUACUUGAGGAGGAAGCCCCGGCUAACUACGUGCCAGCAGCCGCGGUAAUACGUAGGGGGCUAGCGUUAUCCGGAUUUACUGGGCGUAAAGGGUGCGUAGGCGGUCUUUUAAGUCAGGAGUGAAAGGCUACGGCUCAACCGUAGUAAGCUCUUGAAACUGGAGGACUUGAGUGCAGGAGAGGAGAGUGGAAUUCCUAGUGUAGCGGUGAAAUGCGUAGAUAUUAGGAGGAACACCAGUAGCGAAGGCGGCUCUCUGGACUGUAACUGACGCUGAGGCACGAAAGCGUGGGGAGCAAACAGGGUUAGAUACCCUGGUAGUCCACGCCGUAAACGAUGAGUACUAGCUGUCGGAGGUUACCCCCUUCGGUGGCGCAGCUAACGCAUUAAGUACUCCGCCUGGGGAGUACGCUCGCAAGAGUGAAACUCAAAGGAAUUGACGGGGACCCGCACAAGUAGCGGAGCAUGUGGUUUAAUUCGAAGCAACGCGAAGAACCUUACCUAAGCUUGACAUCCUUUUGACCGAUGCCUAAUCGCAUUUUUCCCUUCGGGGACAGAAGUGACAGGUGGUGCAUGGUUGUCGUCAGCUCGUGUCGUGAGAUGUUGGGUUAAGUCCCGCAACGAGCGCAACCCUUGCCUUUAGUUGCCAUCAUUAAGUUGGGCACUCUAGAGGGACUGCCAGGGAUAACCUGGAGGAAGGUGGGGAUGACGUCAAAUCAUCAUGCCCCUUAUGCUUAGGGCUACACACGUGCUACAAUGGGUGGUACAGAGGGCAGCAAAGUCGUGAGGCCAAGCUAAUCCCUUAAAGCCAUUCUCAGUUCGGAUUGUAGGCUGAAACUCGCCUACAUGAAGCUGGAGUUACUAGUAAUCGCAGAUCAGAAUGCUGCGGUGAAUGCGUUCCCGGGUGUUGACACACCGCCC